This is a regulatory RNA element of Paenisporosarcina sp. HGH0030, 184 nucleotides long. It matches the Rfam family "Lysine riboswitch aptamer". From Rfam's summary of the family: Riboswitches are metabolite binding domains within certain messenger RNAs that serve as precision sensors for their corresponding targets. Allosteric rearrangement of mRNA structure is mediated by ligand binding, and this results in modulation of gene expression. Lineage: Bacteria; Bacillati; Bacillota; Bacilli; Caryophanales; Caryophanaceae. The record is from Rfam.
UGGUGAGGUAGAGGCGCGAUAUUUAACAGUCCUUAGAGGAGUUUGAGAAAGCUUUGAUACUAGGGAGAAGGAAAUGUCGCCGAAGUGAGUAAUAUUUCUCGGUAUUACUUGCUGGGUCUGUAGUUAAGAACUGCAGGACUGUCUCAAUAAACGUCCCGGUUUAUUGAGGUGUGCUAUCUCAUUU